Long non-coding RNA from Mytilus californianus (California mussel), 759 nucleotides. RefSeq lists it as uncharacterized. The record is from RefSeq and is a predicted model, not a curated record. Lineage: Eukaryota; Metazoa; Mollusca; Bivalvia; Mytilida; Mytilidae. The transcript has 4 exons.
AAAACUAAAGCUUUAUUUAUCAUAUUUCAAAUACGAUUAUACUUACAUAAAGAUGCAUUGAAAACUGUUGUGUUACUCCAAGUAAUUGUCGAGGUAGAUGUGGUGGAAACUGAAAUUUAAAAAAGAUUCAUUAUAAAUUAUGACAAAAUCAAUUAACUCGUGUAGAGAAAAUUAAUAUACUAUCUUCAUGAUUGUCAGAUUCAUAUCGUCCAGUGGGAAUUAUUUCGCACAUAAAUUUACAUUAGUUUGAUGGAUUAAUAGAAACCAUUUUACAUGCUCAUUUUAUCUGGAUGUGGGAGUGUACAUAUACACCCAACAUGUCAUUACCAGUUGGGAGAAAACCAUCUUAUUAAUUUCUUCUUUCAUAAUUACAUGUGGGGAAACAAUACAUUUUACAAACUACUUUAUUUACCUGUUAAUUCUUCAUUUGAUGAGUAUAUGGAUAAUGAUAACUGAAAUUAUAAAAUAAUAUUUUUGUUUUGCAUUUAAAAUGAAAGAAAACAGGAGAAUUUUGAAAGCAAAGAGAAGACUACCCCCCACAACAGCAGCCAACCCCAUAGAUUUAACAGCGGAGCUUGAUUAAAUGAGAAAGAGAGGGAAGAGACGUUGAAUGAUAUCAGGAGUAUUGUUGGUAAUCAUUUGGGGGAGAAGAACAUAGAGGAAAAGAUGGAAGAAGAGGAGACUAGCGUCCCAAUAAACAUUUUUAAUGGACUUUUCCAUUUUAACAAUGGACGAGCAAUACUGAAUUAUUUAUAAAAU